RNAcentral lists this ribosomal RNA (207 nucleotides) under uncultured bacterium. RNAcentral's name for it is "partial 16S ribosomal RNA". It matches the Rfam family "Bacterial small subunit ribosomal RNA", at positions 568 to 774 of the family's 1533-position model. The record is from RNAcentral.
CGCGUAGGCGGUUUGGUCAGUCAGAUGUGAAAGCCCCGGGCUCAACCUGGGAACUGCAUUUGAUACUGCUGAACUAGAGUGUGGUAGAGGGAAGUGGAAUUCCGGGUGUAGCGGUGAAACGCGUAGAGAUCCGGAGGAACAUCAGUGGCGAAGGCGGCUUCCUGGACCAACACUGACGCUGAGGUGCGAAAGCGUGGGUAGCAAACA